UACGGAGGGUGCGAGCGUUAUCCGGAAUUACUGGGUUUAAAGGGUGCGUAGGCGGCGCAGUAAGUCAGGAGUGAAAGUUUGCGGCUCAACCGUAAAAUUGCUUUUGAUACUGCUGUGCUAGAAUUAGGAUGAGGUCAGCGGAAUGUGGCAUGUAGCGGUGAAAUGCAUAGAUAUGCCAUAGAACACCAAUUGCGAAGGCAGCUGGCUAGACCUAUAUUGACGCUGAGGCACGAAAGUGUGGGGAUCAAACAGG
This 253-nucleotide ribosomal RNA is filed under the name uncultured bacterium. RNAcentral's name for it is "partial 16S ribosomal RNA". It matches the Rfam family "Bacterial small subunit ribosomal RNA", at positions 524 to 776 of the family's 1533-position model. The record is from RNAcentral.